AUGGCCAUCCACAAGGCUUUGCUUCUUGCCAUCCUCGGUUGCAUCUGCCUCUGUGGUACAGUCAUUGCAGCUCGUGAGCUGAAUGAUGACUUGUUGAUGGUGGUGAAGCAUGAGAACUGGAUGGCUCAGUAUGGCCGUGUGUACAAGGACACCACUGAGAAGGCACGUCGGUUCGAGGUUUUCAAAGGCAACGUCGAGUUCAUUGAAACAUUCAAUGCCCAAAAUCACAAGUUCUGGCUUGGCGUCAACCAAUUUGCUGAUGUCACAAAUGAUGAGUUCAAGACAACCAACACAAACAAGGGAUUCAAAGCAAACUCCAUGAGAGUUCUUUCUUCUGGAUUCAGGUAUGAGAAUUUGAGUUUGGAUGCCCUUCCAGCAACGAUGGACUGGAGGGCCAAGGGAGCCGUCACUCCUGUCAAGGAUCAAGGCCAGUGUGGCUGCUGUUGGGCAUUUUCUGCUGUUGCCGCGACAGAGGGCAUUGUAAAACUGAAAACCGGGAAGUUGAUCUCACUGUCGGAGCAGGAGUUGGUUGACUGUGAUGUUCAUGGUCAAGAUCAAGGCUGCGAGGGAGGACUCAUGGAUGAUGCCUUCAAAUUCAUUAUCAAGAAUGGAGGCCUUACUAUGGAGUCAAGCUACCCAUAUACUGCAGCUGACGGCAAGUGCAAGGCUGGAUCCAACAGUGCCGCAACCAUCACCGGCUUUGAGGAUGUGCCUGCCAAUAACGAG
RNAcentral lists this ribosomal RNA (726 nucleotides) under Triticum aestivum (bread wheat). RNAcentral's name for it is "partial small subunit ribosomal RNA". The record is from RNAcentral. Lineage: Eukaryota; Viridiplantae; Streptophyta; Magnoliopsida; Poales; Poaceae.